UACGUAGGGUGCGAGCGUUGUCCGGAAUUAUUGGGCGUAAAGGGCUCGUAGGCGGUUUGUCGCGUCGGGAGUGAAAUCCACUGGCUUAACUGGUGGCUUGCUUUCGAUACGGGCAGACUGGAGUUCGGCAGGGGAGACUGGAAUUCCUGGUGUAGCGGUGAAAUGCGUAGAUAUCGGGAGGAACACCUGUGGCGAAAGCGGCGCACUGGACCACAACUGACGCUGAGGCGCGAAAGCUAGGGGAGCAAACAGG
This 253-nucleotide ribosomal RNA is filed under the name uncultured bacterium. RNAcentral describes it as "partial 16S ribosomal RNA". It matches the Rfam family "Bacterial small subunit ribosomal RNA", at positions 524 to 776 of the family's 1533-position model. The record is from RNAcentral.